RNAcentral lists this transfer RNA (20 nucleotides) under Albinaria profuga. Its description in RNAcentral is "partial tRNA-Met". The record is from RNAcentral. Lineage: Eukaryota; Metazoa; Mollusca; Gastropoda; Stylommatophora; Clausiliidae.
AAUGGAUUUCCCUCAUUAAA